Caenorhabditis elegans is the source of this 21-nucleotide non-coding RNA. The record is from Ensembl. Lineage: Eukaryota; Metazoa; Nematoda; Chromadorea; Rhabditida; Rhabditidae.
UGAUUCUUUCUUUUCAAAGUG